UGGUGGGUUGCCUUGUCAGGUUGAUUCCGGUAACGAACGAGACCUCAGCCUGCUAAAUAGUCACGGUUGGCUCGCCAGCCGGCGGACUUCUUAGAGGGACUAUUGGCGACUAGCCAAUGGAAGCAUGAGGCAAUAACA
RNAcentral lists this ribosomal RNA (138 nucleotides) under uncultured eukaryote. RNAcentral's name for it is "partial 18S ribosomal RNA". It matches the Rfam family "Eukaryotic small subunit ribosomal RNA", at positions 1299 to 1458 of the family's 1831-position model. The record is from RNAcentral.